This 173-nucleotide unclassified non-coding RNA is filed under the name uncultured Trimmatostroma. RNAcentral's name for it is "sequence contains ITS2". Lineage: Eukaryota; Fungi; Ascomycota; Dothideomycetes; Mycosphaerellales; Mycosphaerellaceae. The record is from RNAcentral.
UCCUCUCUCAAGCCCCCCGGGUUUGGUGUUGGACCGCGUUGGCCUUCACGGGCCAACUGGUCUCAAAGACAAUGACGGCGUCCCAGGGACCCUCUUCGCACUGAGCUUUCCGGAGCACGCGUAGAGUUUCAAGGGCCCAGGGACCCGGUCACCUCCAAAAACAAAAUUUUUCA